GAUGAACGCUGGCGGCGUGCCUAAUACAUGCAAGUCGAGCGAACAGAUGAGGAGCUUGCUCCUCUGACGUUAGCGGCGGACGGGUGAGUAACACGUGGAUAACCUACCUAUAAGACUGGGAUAACUACGGGAAACCGGAGCUAAUACCGGAUAAUAUAUUGAACCGCAUGGUUCAAUAGUGAAAGACGGUUUUGCUGUCACUUAUAGAUGGAUCCGCGCCGCAUUAGCUAGUUGGUAAGGUAACGGCUUACCAAGGCAACGAUGCGUAGCCGACCUGAGAGGGUGAUCGGCCACACUGGAACUGAGACACGGUCCAGACUCCUACGGGAGGCAGCAGUAGGGAAUCUUCCGCAAUGGGCGAAAGCAUGACGGAGCAACGCCGCGUGAGUGAUGAAGGUCUUCGGAUCGUAAAACUCUGUUAUCAGGGAAGAACAAAUGUGUAAGUAACUAUGCACGUCUUGACGGUACCUAAUCAGAAAGCCACGGCUAACUACGUG
This 497-nucleotide ribosomal RNA is filed under the name uncultured bacterium. RNAcentral's name for it is "partial 16S ribosomal RNA". It matches the Rfam family "Bacterial small subunit ribosomal RNA", at positions 28 to 507 of the family's 1533-position model. The record is from RNAcentral.